Molecule: non-coding RNA, 48 nt
Filed under: Spodoptera frugiperda (fall armyworm)
Lineage: Eukaryota; Metazoa; Arthropoda; Insecta; Lepidoptera; Noctuidae
Source: RNAcentral
GUAUUAUACUUGUGAAUGUGUUCCUACUACAAUCACAGGAUAAUACUG